CGGGUCUGGAGAAAACAGAAUAUUAUAAGAAUAAAUUAUUUGUUCUGUUUACCCACAUGUGGCGAUGAUACUCUGGAUUUACAAUGUCAGAUAGAGCGAAAAAACAUUAGUUUACACAAACAUCCUCAGGCAGAAGAGCGAGUUUCUAAUUUAAACUCUUCAUAAUAAAAGCUUGACUUUCAGCCAAGCUGAGUGCUUCACUGAUUCUUUGCCAAGUCUGGAGGUAAUAAGAGAGCUAAUGAGCUUCAUGGUUUAUUCUAUUUUUAAUUCUUAUGUGCACGCUACAUUGACAAAUGCUUUCCAGUUAGUACCAGUACUUAUGCUUUGGUAUCCACUGUAUGAAAGCUGUAAAUCCCUGAGGGCAGCUUUUACAGUGAUUAUGGAGAGUGAUGCUAAUUGUAUUUGAAGGCAAACUGAGCCUUUUGUGUCACAACCAAGAAAACCUUCUUGAACACCUCAGCACUGUGUAUUAACACACACUCUAACACCUGGCUUCACCACUGGGGGGCAGCAGAGACAUUCCCAUGACUGCUUCACCUUCACAUUCUGAAGCCUGUCAGAUUCCACACAAUAUGACUGCAUGUAAGACCUCACCAGAUGUGACUGGUCAACAUCUGCACCUUUCCUGAUUUGAUACAGUAACAGUCAGUUUCAGUCUCUGCUCUGUGUGAGUACAACAGCUUGAAACUGCUACAGAAAUACCGACGAUUUACAGCAUUAAUACACAUGAUGAGACCUGAUUCAGACUAAUUAGAUGAGCUGAGGCUUGACUUUACUCGUGGAAACAGGUAUAAACUUGGUCUCUCUGGAACUUAAAGAGGAUGAGGACGCAAACUCUCACCUGCAUGAGUGAGGCACUCGGGCGUGUAUAAACAACCAAAAAGACCAUUUCCCUGACUGAAGCACGAGUACUGACUGAAAGGUUUUGUUCUCACUCGCGUACGAACACAGAUACUGAAGAAACCGUGAGAAUAAAAACCACCAGGACACAAAAGACGACGUUCUUCCACUCCGUGAUUCCCACAAGAGUUGGACUGAAUGACAAAAGAAACAAGGCCAGCAGUGCAUUAUGGGAAUUAUUGGCUCUAAACAUACUGCAGAUCAAUUAGACUGCCUCAGUCAAACCACCCAUUAUAUAUAGACUGAGAGCAGUAUAGAGACCCACACUGCCUCAGCACCUAUAUACAGUUUAUUCAUAUGAUCUGGUCACAUCAUUUGUUCCAACCAUAUAAAUAAUAACUGACACUAAAAUCUAAUUCUCAGUAUUUGCUCCUCUGCAGAGUUUUGGUUAAAUUUAGAUUUAGUGACGUUACUCUGAAGAAGGUUUCUACAUUUAAGAUACAGAUGUGACUGAACCUGGUGCCGCUGCUAAAAUAUCACAGUGAAAGGAGAAGUGCACGGCCGUCAGACUGAGAGCCUGCAGAGAGCAGGUCUGAGGUCUGAGUCACAGUAACUCGUCUACACACACUCGCACUGAACUGAACCUGUUUCUAUACAACGCUGCUUUCAGGUAAUGUUGGAAAACGCAUAAUUUCAAAUCCCCAUUUCAAAUCACAACUCAAAACACAUCUGUUUAAAACUGCCUUUUCCAUCUGAUGCCAAUUGCUCUGUCACUUUUGUAUUGUUUUUAUUUUUAUAUUUCAUUUUUAUUGUUGUUAAUUAAUUAAUUCUUAAUGUGUUUUAAUCUCAAUUUGUGUAACUGUGUACGGUGUCCUUGAGUGCCAAGAAAGGCGCCUUUAAAUAAAAUGUAUUAUUAUUA
Long non-coding RNA from Seriola aureovittata, 1759 nucleotides. RefSeq lists it as uncharacterized. The transcript has 2 exons. Lineage: Eukaryota; Metazoa; Chordata; Actinopteri; Carangiformes; Carangidae. The record is from RefSeq and is a predicted model, not a curated record.